This is a non-coding RNA of Phrynosoma platyrhinos (Desert horned lizard), 72 nucleotides long. Lineage: Eukaryota; Metazoa; Chordata; Lepidosauria; Squamata; Phrynosomatidae. The record is from the annotation of a GenBank genome assembly.
GCCAAGGUGGUGUAACGGUUUGAGCAUUGGACUAUGACUCUGGAGAUCAGGGUUUGAAUCCCAGCCCGGCCA